AGCUACUAAGAGCGAAUGGUGGAUGCCUUGACUGGUAAAGGCGAUGAAGGACGUACUAGACUGCGAUAAGCUACGGGGAGCUGUCAAGAAGCUUUGAUCCGUAGAUUUCCGAAUGGGGCAACCCAAUGUAUAGAGAUAUACAUUACCUAUAUAGGAGCGAACGAGGGGAAUUGAAACAUCUUAGUACCCUCAGGAAAAGAAAUCAAUAGAGAUUGCGUCAGUAGCGGCGAGCGAAAGCGCAAGAGGGCAAACCCAGUGCUUGCACUGGGGGUUGUAGGACUGCAAUGUGCAAGAGCUGAGUUUAGCAGAACAUUCUGGAAAGUAUAGCCAUAGAGGGUGAUAGUCCCGUAUGCGAAAAACAAAGCUUAGCUAGCAGUAUCCUGAGUAGGGCGGGACACGAGGAAUCCUGUCUGAAUCCGGGUCGACCACGAUCCAACCCUAAAUACUAAUACCAGAUCGAUAGUGCACAAGUACCGUGAGGGAAAGGUGAAAAGAACUGAGGUGAUCAGAGUGAAAUAGAACCUGAAACCAUUUGCUUACAAUCAUUCAGAGCCCUAUGUAGCAAUACAGGGUGAUGGACUGCCUUUUGCAUAAUGAGCCUGCGAGUUGUGGUGUCUGGCAAGGUUAAGCAAACGCGAAGCCGUAGCGAAAGCGAGUCUGAAUAGGGCGCUUAGUCAGAUGCUGCAGACCCGAAACGAAGUGAUCUAUCCAUGAGCAAGUUGAAGCUAGUGUAAGAACUAGUGGAGGACUGAACCCAUAGGCGUUGAAAAGCCCCGGGAUGACUUGUGGAUAGGGGUGAAAGGCCAAUCAAACUUCGUGAUAGCUGGUUCUCUCCGAAAUAUAUUUAGGUAUAGCGUUGUGUCGUAAUAUAAGGGGGUAGAGCACUGAAUGGGCUAGGGCAUACACCAAUGUACCAAACCCUAUCAAACUCCGAAUACCUUAUAUGUAAUCACAGCAGUCAGGCGGCGAGUGAUAAAAUCCGUCGUCAAGAGGGAAACAACCCAGACUACCAGCUAAGGUCCCUAAAUCUUACUUAAGUGGAAAACGAUGUGAAGUUACUUAAACAACCAGGAGGUUGGCUUAGAAGCAGCCAUCCUUUAAAGAAAGCGUAAUAGCUCACUGGUCUAGUGAUUUUGCGCGGAAAAUAUAACGGGGCUAAAGUAAGUACUGAAGCUGUAGACUUAGUUUACUAAGUGGUAGGAGAGCGUUCUAUUUGCGUCGAAGGUAUACCGGUAAGGAGUGCUGGAGCGAAUAGAAGUGAGCAUGCAGGCAUGAGUAGCGAUAAUUAAUGUGAGAAUCAUUAACGCCGUAAACCCAAGGUUUCCUACGCGAUGCUCGUCAUCGUAGGGUUAGUCGGGUCCUAAGUCGAGUCCGAAAGGGGUAGACGAUGGCAAAUUGGUUAAUAUUCCAAUACCAACAUUAGUGUGCGAUGGAAGGACGCUUAGGGCUAAGGGGGCUAGCGGAUGGAAGUGCUAGUCUAAGGUCGUAGGAGGUUAUACAGGCAAAUCCGUAUAACAAUACUCCGAGAACUGAAAGGCUUUUUGAAGUCUUCGGAUGGAUAGAAGAACCCCUGAUGCCGUCGAGCCAAGAAAAGUUUCUAAGUUUAGCUAAUGUUGCCCGUACCGUAAACCGACACAGGUGGGUGGGAUGAGUAUUCUAAGGCGCGUGGAAGAACUCUCUUUAAGGAACUCUGCAAAAUAGCACCGUAUCUUCGGUAUAAGGUGUGGUUAGCUUUGUAUUAGGAUUUACUCCGAAAGCAAGGAAACUUACAACAAAGAGUCCCUCCCGACUGUUUACCAAAAACACAGCACUCUGCUAACUCGUAAGAGGAUGUAUAGGGUGUGACGCCUGCCCGGUGCUCGAAGGUUAAUUGAUGGGGUUAGCAUUAGCGAAGCUCUUGAUCGAAGCCCGAGUAAACGGCGGCCGUAACUAUAACGGUCCUAAGGUAGCGAAAUUCCUUGUCGGUUAAAUACCGACCUGCAUGAAUGGCGUAACGAGAUGGGAGCUGUCUCAAAGAGGGAUCCAGUGAAAUUGUAGUGGAGGUGAAAAUUCCUCCUACCCGCGGCAAGACGGAAAGACCCCGUGGACCUUUACUACAGCUUGACACUGCUACUUGGAUAAGAAUGUGCAGGAUAGGUGGGAGGCUUUGAGUAUAUGACGCCAGUUGUAUAUGAGCCAUUGUUGAGAUACCACUCUUUCUUAUUUGGGUAGCUAACCAGCUUGAGUUAUCCUC
This 2233-nucleotide ribosomal RNA is filed under the name Campylobacter jejuni. RNAcentral's name for it is "bacterial LSU rRNA". It matches the Rfam family "Bacterial large subunit ribosomal RNA", at positions 1 to 2243 of the family's 2925-position model. The record is from RNAcentral. Lineage: Bacteria; Pseudomonadati; Campylobacterota; Epsilonproteobacteria; Campylobacterales; Campylobacteraceae.